RNAcentral lists this ribosomal RNA (407 nucleotides) under uncultured microorganism. Its description in RNAcentral is "bacterial SSU rRNA". It matches the Rfam family "Bacterial small subunit ribosomal RNA", at positions 509 to 917 of the family's 1533-position model. The record is from RNAcentral.
CAGCAGCCGCGGUAAUACGUAGGGGGCGAGCGUUACCCGGAUUCACUGGGCGUAAAGGGGGUGUAGGCGGCUCGGUAAGUCGGGUGUGAAAUCCCACGGCUCAACCGUGGAAUUGCGCCCGAAACUGCCGAGCUUGGGGCCGGUAGAGGGAGACGGAACUGCCGGUGUAGGGGUGAAAUCCGUAGAUAUCGGCAGGAACGCCGGUGGGGAAGCCGGCCUCCUGGGCCGCGCCCGACGCUGAGGCCCGAAAGCUAGGGGAGCAAACCGGAUUAGAUCCCCGGGUAGUCCUAGCCGUAAACGAUGCCCACUAGGUGUGGGGGAGUAUUUCCUCCGUGCCGAAGCUAACGCAUUAAGUGCCCCGCCUGGGGAGUACGGCCGCAAGGUUGAAACUUAAAGGAAUUGGCGGG